GUGUGAUUUCUCAAUAAAAAGUGAAUACCGAACCCUAAUCCCUAAUCCGUUGCGGCAUCUUCUGCCACUGUCAUUCAUCUUCUCAAUCUGGCCUCAAUUUGAAGGUUUGUCGCUGCUGCUUAUUUCACUGCUAUUGUUCAUCUCCUCGUCGUCACUCAUCCCCUCACCAUAUCAAGCAACAUCGUGUCGCUACCUUCAAUGAGGUUCUGGCUUCAAUCUGAAGGUUAGUCACCGUCACUCAUUCCGUUGCCGCCUUUAUUUAUCACCUCGCCGUUGCAAGCAAUGCCACUGUUGCUGCCUUUAGCGAGCCUCUGUGAUUUUGUUCUGCCUUCAUCUUCUUUUGAUUUUUCCUUCCUCUUCAUAAUUUUAGAUCUAGUUCAUGAUCUAGUAGGAAGAAAUAGAGAAUGCUUGUUUUUUCUCCUUUAUUUUUACUUUGAUUGAUCUUCUGCGUUGUUGUUGUUGUUGACGAGGGUGCCAGAGGUGGUGGAAUUUUACUACACAUUGAUGAGGAGAGAACCAUAGCAACUAUCUCGAUGCGAAUACAGCUAAAACGGAAUCUUAAAGGCCGUGUUGGAAGGACUGCUCAUAUUUGAUAACAUAGAGAAUGGAAGCUUAAAGGAGCAUCUCAAUGAUCCCUUGAAGACUCCUUUAAAUUGGAGGACGAGGUUACAGACUGCUAAUGAAGUUGUAGCAGCACUGGAAUACUUGUUUCUUUUUAGUGAUCCACUGGCAUAUCAUGUCUCCAUCAGCUCAAGCAAUAUUAUGUUAGAUGAGAACUUUGCAGCUAAACAUCAAAUUUUGGCCUUCUUACUCCCAGUGCAAACUCUGUCAUGAUGCCGAAUUCAGGAGAUAGCAUGAAGCAGAAGAGUUGCAAGAUAAUAUUCCAACUCGGAGUGCUGAUACUGGAACUGGUCAGAAAUGGAUUGGAUUGAAAAGAUCACAGGAGUUAUUGCCUCAUUGUUGAGUUCUCAGAUUCCUGAAAGGACUAGGUAGUGUUCUGACUAAGAAGGCUGUUUAUACUGUUCAUUUUGCAGCAAAAGGGAAGUGGUAAUGUUGGCCAGCUUCUGGACCCAAAUCAUGCCUCAUUGUUGAAAGGAGUAGCAGUGGCAACUGGCGGCUAGGCUAUAGGGUCUCUACCAAUCUCAUCUUUAUGAGAAUGUUGCUAUUCAUAUCAUCUCUGUUCUGGAUGCCUAUCUCAUAUUGGAUUGAAUUUACAAGUUCUAUUUGCAGUCAAACGUCUCUCGGUGCACCUAACAUUUUACAAGGCAGUUUUCAACAAGUUCAAAAUCAGAACCAGCAUCUUCUAGGAUCUCUGAACAUGAAAAGUGAUAUGAAUCCAAUGGUUAGACCUCAAGCUGUUAUAUCAGAUGGAUCCUUUGUUGGUGGACAUGGGUGAAGAACUGAAGAAGAUGAUUGAUGCAAUCACCUAAAUACAGUGCAAUUCUAAAACACAGCAGAAUGUGAAGAUAGUUUUUGACUCUGCAAUAAAAGUUGAAUUGAGACCACAAAAACCAAAGAAAAAACCACGCAAGAGAAGGACUUAUUUUUUCUUCUAAGUAGUAUUUCUUAUUCAGUUGUUCUUAUUGUAUUUCUGAAAUCAUUAAUAUAUCAGAAUCAAAAACACUAAGCUUUAGUGUUUUUUUAUUCUUUUACAUUAUUGUUGUGAAGAACAUUAGGCUUCUUUUUACAGGUGUUAUGUUUAGAAUUAAAAAAUUAUAUUAUGUUUGAUAGUUUAUUUG
Molecule: non-coding RNA, 1739 nt
Organism: Arachis ipaensis
Lineage: Eukaryota; Viridiplantae; Streptophyta; Magnoliopsida; Fabales; Fabaceae
Source: RefSeq, a predicted model, not a curated record